This 715-nucleotide unclassified non-coding RNA is filed under the name Hevea brasiliensis (rubber tree). Lineage: Eukaryota; Viridiplantae; Streptophyta; Magnoliopsida; Malpighiales; Euphorbiaceae. The record is from RNAcentral.
CAAUAGAUCAGAAACUUGAGUUUGUUUCAGAGGAUACGUGUAAUGGACCAUCAAAAGAGCAAUAUUCACUUGGAUCUGGAAUCAUACAAAAUCAUAAUGCACUAUCAACUAUCACUGUUAAUGAAAACUUGCAACUUUUGUCUGAAGAUGCAGCCAAGAAUUCUCUUACUAACGAUUUGGAAUUACCACAUGAAGAUGCUAGGGAAAGUAGUCAGGUUGGUAAAAGUCCAUGCUCUCAACAAUCUAUGCCUGAACAGACACUUGAGUUUUCUUCUGACAGUGCUUGUUGUGAACCUUCAGUAGAAAGAGGAAAGGCUUGUUUGGACAUUGUAAAAGGUGAAUUAUUGAAAAUCAGUACUCCAUUGUCUAGUUGUACUGCUACCAGGCAUUUCGAGCCACCUCCUGCUCUUGUGGCCAAGAGUUCUAUUAUAUGUUUAGGUCUGCCUCGUGUCAGUGAGAUCAAUGUUCCUGCUACUGAAAAACUACGACCAUCUCAUGAUGAUAUGGAUAAACACUCGAAUCUUGAACAAUCAGAAACGCCAUCUAAAGAUACAGUUAGUAAUUCUAGCCGGGUGGGCUGGAGGGUUAAAAGAACUGCAAAAUCAAGAAAAAAAUAUAUCUUAAGAUCUUUGGUUAGAAGUGAUAGAGUUCUGCAGUCAAGAUCACAAGAAAAACCUAAAGCUCCUGAUUUCAGUGCAAACCUGGCUAAUGUUAG